GACGAACGCUGGCGGCGUGCUUAACACAUGCAAGUCGAACGGAAAGGCCCUGCUUUUGUGGGGUGCUCGAGUGGCGAACGGGUGAGUAACACGUGAGUAACCUGCCCUUGACUUUGGGAUAACUUCAGGAAACUGGGGCUAAUACCGGAUAGGAGCUCCUGCUGCAUGGUGGGGGUUGGAAAGUUUCGGCGGUUGGGGAUGGACUCGCGGCUUAUCAGCUUGUUGGUGGGGUAGUGGCUUACCAAGGCUUUGACGGGUAGCCGGCCUGAGAGGGUGACCGGCCACAUUGGGACUGAGAUACGGCCCAGACUCCUACGGGAGGCAGCAGUGGGGAAUAUUGCACAAUGGGCGGAAGCCUGAUGCAGCAACGCCGCGUGCGGGAUGACGGCCUUCGGGUUGUAAACCGCUUUCGCCUGUGACGAAGCGUGAGUGACGGUAAUGGGUAAAGAAGCACCGGCUAACUACGUGCCAGCAGCCGCGGUGAUACGUAGGGUGCGAGCGUUGUCCGGAUUUAUUGGGCGUAAAGGGCUCGUAGGUGGUUGAUCGCGUCGGAAGUGUAAUCUUGGGGCUUAACCCUGAGCGUGCUUUCGAUACGGGUUGACUUGAGGAAGGUAGGGGAGAAUGGAAUUCCUGGUGGAGCGGUGGAAUGCGCAGAUAUCAGGAGGAACACCAGUGGCGAAGGCGGUUCUCUGGGCCUUUCCUGACGCUGAGGAGCGAAAGCGUGGGGAGCGAACAGGCUUAGAUACCCUGGUAGUCCACGCUGUAAACGGUGGGUACUAGGUGUGGGGUCCAUUCCACGGGUUCCGUGCCGUAGCUAACGCUUUAAGUACCCCGCCUGGGGAGUACGGCCGCAAGGCUAAAACUCAAAGGAAUUGACGGGGCCCCGCACAAGCGGCGGAGCAUGCGGAUUAAUUCGAUGCAACGCGUAGAACCUUACCUGGGUUUGACAAGGAUCGGGAGUGCUCAGAGAUGGGUGUGCCUCUUUUGGGGUCGGUUCACAGGUGGUGCAUGGCUGUCGUCAGCUCGUGUCAUGAGAUGUUGGGUUAAGUCCCGCAACGAGCGCAACCCUUGUUCACUGUUGCCAGCACGUUAUGGUGGGGACUCAGUGGAGACCGCCGGGGUCAACUCGGAGGAAGGUGGGGAUGACGUCAAGUCAUCAUGCCCCUUAUGUCCAGGGCUUCACGCAUGCUACAAUGGCUGGUACAGAGAGUGGCGAGCCUGUGAGGGUGAGCGAAUCUCGGAAAGCCGGUCUCAGUUCGGAUUGGGGUCUGCAACUCGACCUCAUGAAGUCGGAGUCGCUAGUAAUCGCAGAUCAGCAACGCUGCGGUGAAUACGUUCCCGGGGCUUGUACACACCGCCCGUCAAGUCAUGAAAGUUGGUAACACCCGAAGCCGGUGGCCUAACCGUUGUGGGGGAGCCGUCGAAGGUGGGACUGGUGAUUAGGACUAAGUCGUAACAAGGUAGCCGUACCGGAAGG
Molecule: ribosomal RNA, 1477 nt
Filed under: uncultured bacterium
Lineage: Bacteria
Description: 16S ribosomal RNA
Rfam family: Bacterial small subunit ribosomal RNA
Source: RNAcentral